Molecule: long non-coding RNA, 441 nt
Filed under: Amphimedon queenslandica
Lineage: Eukaryota; Metazoa; Porifera; Demospongiae; Haplosclerida; Niphatidae
Description: uncharacterized LOC109588242
Source: RNAcentral
GCUGAAGGAUAUCAGUAUAUCAUCAGUACAUCAUAAAGAGAUAAAGAAAGAUACUACUACUAUCAAACUGAAGAUGACUUCAUUCCAGCGUAUGGUCCUUGUUGCAGCUGUACUCUUUAUGAUUACUGCUCAUGUCACUGAUGCUGCAAAAAAAGAGGGAACCUGUUACCUUAGAAAAGGAUGUGUCGGUACUCCUUACUACAUGGCAGAGAAUGAUGGAGAAAAAUGCUGUCAAUUUAAAUUUGCUUCUUACGAAUAUGAACAUGACGGUAGGCCAGUUUGCCGUAACUGCUAAAGCAACUGAAGAAGCAAGAAAAUAAUAAGAACAAUACUACUAUUAACAGUUGAAUACUAUUAAUACUUUAAUUAUUAUUAUUACUUUAAUUAUCAUUGCUAAACAAAUUUAUCUAACAAAUUAAUUCAGACUGAUUAAGAACAAAA